Arachis ipaensis is the source of this 617-nucleotide long non-coding RNA. RefSeq lists it as uncharacterized. Lineage: Eukaryota; Viridiplantae; Streptophyta; Magnoliopsida; Fabales; Fabaceae. The record is from RefSeq and is a predicted model, not a curated record.
UCUCACCAAAUAGUUGAAUACGCUAAAGAAGUUUUAUAUUGGAUGGUCAUACUAUAAAUACUAAAGGUUUACAGAGAAAAGAAAUUGUGAAAAUAAAAAAAAAAAAAAAAAAGAACAAAGUUGAGAGAAAAGAGAAUUUUCAAGUGAAAAUGGCGAGAAAAGAAGCUUUGGUUUUCGCUUUCUUAUGCCUCAUAAUCAUGGCAUCUGUGGCAGCCAGAACUAUUCCAGAAGCAAAUGUCGAUAAUACAGAUGCUACAACAACAAAUAAGCAUGCAGAAUUUCUUGAUAACAAUAAUAAAAUUGAUGGUAAAGUUCGGACGUGUUGCAUCUCAAAUCCGUUAAUUGGGGGCUGCUUGUGGUAUUGCAAAGCGAAGCACACAUAGUCACCAUACAGCCGCAUGGAUUAUACAAGACACACGAUGCACUACCAUGGGCUAUGCAGGAUUUGAAUAAUAAACGUGUCCUUCAUCCUAAAAUCGUCGUGUUGUAACAAAUUAAUGUGAAAUAAAUAUCACAUGAAUAUCUUUAGUAGUUAAGUCUUAUGGUUUGUGAGUGAUAUCUUAAUAGUUAUUUUGAUAAUACUUAAGCAAUUUAUCUAAUCAUAUUUUGUGCCACAA